Molecule: long non-coding RNA, 5595 nt
Filed under: Triticum aestivum (bread wheat)
Lineage: Eukaryota; Viridiplantae; Streptophyta; Magnoliopsida; Poales; Poaceae
Description: long non-coding RNA (TAES_LNC005540)
Source: RNAcentral
UUUCAAAUGAUUUAAGUAACUUCCACUAUACAUCGGAAAACUGGAAAUAUGUCUAUGCUUAUAUGAUUGGCUUACAAUUCCAUGCAUUAUUUGAUUACAUUGUUUGAUACUCCAUCCAGCUCUAACUCUUCUAUAUAACAAGACAUAUCUUGUACCACUCUUCACAUCUUCCAAUUGAUGGCAGAAAAAUGACUAUCAUGGCAACUAUGCCACCGCUUCAUAUCCAAACGCAAGAUGAAAUGAAUAAAAGAUGGGAACUACCUGUCAGUAUCUCUCUUACUCCCAAGAUUAUGCUUCUCUCUCUUUCCUUCCCUUCUCCCGAUUCUUUUAAUCAAAUGAACAACAUGAAGGAGAAAAUCAACCAAGCAGAACAGAAAAGAGAUAUAAAAUAUAAGAACAUGAGUAAACCUUAUCUCACUUCAAUACAAAUCAGGGAUGAUUGUGGGCACCCAGCCGGUGAUUAUGUAAAAUUACCUAGAAGAUUCAGCUCUGAUGGUUACACAAGCAAGUAUAUUGUCUGAAUAUAAUAGUUCUAGGGGCAAACUAUUAGAUGCCCCUGAGGCACUGUAAGGCCUUGCAGUGUUAGCUUGAACAACCCUACAGUAUGGACAUGUAAAUCAGGUAUCAACAUGAAAACCUGGAGGAAGAUUCUAUAUAUUUUUGUAGGUGAAAUGAAUUUCGGUUAGUAGUUGUCGCAAGUAUAUAUGUAUUGAAAGAUUCUACAUACAGUAUGAUAUAUCAAUAGUAAAAGUACAUAUUGUAACAUUGUACAAAUAGUUAGAUAUUUGCUCAAGAUAACACAUCGAUUCACAAAACCAAGUCCCCAAAAGUGAGAUCAUUCAUCUAUAUAUUUGCACGGCAACACAAUAUAGUCAGACAUAUGGAAAACUUAUUUGCAUGUCAAAAUCAUACUAUUAGAAUCCAUUAACCUUUAGAAGUAUAUACUUGUUUUAUCUAAUUCAAUCAUCAAAAGCAUAUUGGUGUUCUUAACAUCUCUUUGGCUAUUCUCUUCUCCUUCCAGAUGAUCUGUUGAGAUCCUUUUUUAGAAGCACAUUCAGUAGAACAAAAAAAUACUUUGAAGGAGAACCAUAUUUUGAUAAAGAAAAACAGAAAAAAAAAUCAGUACAGGUAAGGUUUAGUAGCUCCAGAUUUUUCAAGUUAUUUAUGCAACUGAGAAAGACCACAAAAUAUAACCAGGACUGAACAAUUGCACAAGGAAAAGAGUAGCGAGUGUCGAGUAAGUAAAACUUGGCACAUGAUCUAGGUUACUAACUAAUGAAGAGAUUGAAAGGAAGUAUCGCUACAUGCAUAUAUAAUGAACAAUACAGUUAAGACAUGUCAGAAAGCACAGGUCAGUGAGUUUGAACAUUGUUAUUUUUGUAACUAUAAAAACUAAGAAUAAAGACUGGAAUCAUUUGUAAUGAGUAAGAAGCCAAUCCUGGAAUUUUAGAAGAUGUACACAAAAACAAUUAAAAUCAAAGUUCAAUGCAAAACAGAAAGAUGUCCAUUAAGAGACGUACGCCUGUUCCAAGUUCCUUAUGGUCACAUUUACCACACCAUCGAUGUCAAUAAGCUCAUACGCAGCUUUGGAAUCAGGCCCCUGGAUUAUAAGAGAACAUACAUUUGACACUUCAGUAAAAUGAUGCUUCAUGAAAAGCUACAUGCAUAUAUACCAGUCUGAACAUGACACCUCCAGAUUGCAGAAGUUUGUGACCUCUUGAGUUACAAAUGUCCAAGCACAAGGAUGAAGAAGAUAUAAAGGGAAAGAAGGAAAAAAUACACCAAGCUGCAUCUGCGUGACUACUAUAGCAAUUAGCAAUGUCAUCAUGCAUCAGCAAGUCUUCUGAAAACCUCUCCGAUUUUAGUAGGUCAUUACAGCCCGGUUUCAUGAAAUGUCUCCAAAGUGGCAAAGCUAGGAGAUAGCACAUUUGUAGUGAGAAAAUCAUUACUGUAACAAUCUUUCAAAAUGCAUGCUUCAGUUCAGAGUAGUUGUUUAAAGAAACCAAACAACAACCCCAUUAAAAAAUGCCAACUAUACAAAUUAAGUAACAGACUGAUUGCGGGCUUAAGAAUUCUCGGAGGUCAAAAUUGAUAAAACAGAAUUUAGCUCAAAUUACUAUUUUAGAAUAGAUAUGUGACACAAGAACUCCAUAGGCUGACCCAUGUCUGUGACCCUGCGUACACCUCUAUCACACUUUGUGUGAUCCCACAGCUCAUCAACAAAUUACCAACUAAGUGUGCUUCUGACAUUAUUUAUUUGAGCAUUUAUUGAUUUUGCAUUUAAUCCCUUGUUGGGAGACCCAUCUGCUUCCGACAUUGCAUGCGGGUAUAGUCACUCUAGCUACAGUUAUGAGCUAGAAACCAUCAAUUGACCCAAGUAACAAUCCAAUUCACAGAUGAACUCUGAAAUACCAAUCCAUUUUAUUAAGAUUUGCAUGCUACACCUCUGAGAAUUUCAGCCAAAAAAAGUUAAAAUAUUAGUCACAAUGUAUGAAUAGUAAGAUACUUGAUAGACUGUCAUCUAUCUGUUUGCCUAGAAACGAACAAACAAACAUCACUCCAGAUCAGAGUAGCAAGCCAAACAUAAUAUAGAUUAUAAGCAGACGGAAAUUAUAUAAAUAAGUUAGAGUGCCUAUAGAUGUAUAGCUCUAGAACACCAGCUAGCAUUAGAGCAAGGUAACUAUCAUGUGGUAAUCAACGCAUACAUGCAACAGUGAUACUGUUUUGGCAGACCUAUGUGUACAACUUGUACCUCAAAGUUGUUCCUACACUACUGUAAGACUCAUCAUUUGUAACUUUGUUGCUGAAGUACCAAUGACGCAAACUCUUUGCUCAAGUCAUCAAAAUCAUUAGUGGUAAAAAUAUAAUAAACAUGUACUUAUACAUAUCAGACAAACAAAUAAAGCACCUGGCUUGUUUUCCUCAUAAAAAAUAUCAUCCAUGCCCUGCAACAAUCUCACAUUCUGCAGCACUUGAAUAAAUUCAGCAUCACACAGGAUUCCUUAUAAAAUUUGGAUCCACAAUAGGCAGAAAAUAUACAAACGCAUAACAAAGAUACAUAAUGUAAUACACAACAAUGGAAACAGAUUACAUAUUGUAAAAUUAGGUAAAAAGAAACUACAUCCUGUAGUCCGUGAACAAUUGAAGAAACUUGAUACAUGUAAACUCUCAAGUGUUGAAGUAAAUAUGAAAAUGUGACAAAAAUACCUCAGAUGCUGCAAAUGCUGAUGAGUGGAAAUUUUCUAAUCCUGUAGAAAUAAAGUAUACGUUGUUAGGGAGGAGGCGGCAAAAAGAAGAUAUAAAAUAUUCUUAGUGAGAUUGCCUAAAUUUCAUAUAUUAGUGGAUCAUUGAAAACAUGUUCAGAAGGUUCAGAAGCUGUUGCGUAGUAAUUUUCUUGCCACUUGAUGAAUGAGUCAUGGUAGCUUGGGAAUGUGCAGAUUUGUGAGAGCAUUGAAAAGGUAGUUCGAGUGACAGAGUAUAUUUUGUGAACCAUUUUGGGAAUAUGCAGAAUUCCUAGAGCAUUGUGUUGGAUCAUGAUAAUUCCCAUUUUAACUACGGCAAUUGUUUGUUGUGUGGAAGGAUCAUGUACUAAAAUAAUGAGAAUCAGUUCACAUUGAAUCGUUGGGAAAAGUAUAGUGAAAGCGCUGGAAUAUCAGGAGCAGAACAUGAUGCACUAAAUGUGACUAAAUGCUCUUGUGUAUGGAACAUAAACUUGAUCAUGUACUGGGCAAUCCCAUUCUUGAUACUACCUCACUGUUCACAAUGCUUUUGUAUCAAGUCUUACUGGUGAAGUUGCUCAAUCCCAUAACAUUGGUCACCUACAUGGGAGUUCUAAUAUCCCUUUGGUUCAAACACAAACACUGGUGAAGUUGCUCAAUCCCAUAACAUUGGUCACCUACAUGGGAGUUCUAAUAUCCCUUUGGUUCAAACACAAACACCGGGAAAUGUGAAACAGAGCUGCAUGUAAGGUGCUAAGAGGGCCAAAAUUUCGAACGCAAAAUGGUAGGUAGUGUGUAGUCUGCAGAUUAGGAAUAGUUGAGCUUCAGUGUACCGGCGGCGAGGAUGGUGGAGCCGGUGGAGAUGUUGACGGUGCCUAUGCCAUCACCGCCGGUACCGACAAUGUCGACGGCGUCGUGCAGGCCCUCGACACGGACGCAGUUUCUCAUCAUGGCCUUAGCCAGCCCGACGAUCUGAAGAACGGCUUGACAAAACUCGAAAUUAGCGGCCGCAGAAAUCUCUCUCCAUUUCUGCUCAUUCAGAAAUCACGAAUCACGGGAGGACGCGCACGCACCUCUUCAUAGGUCUCGCCCUUGGCCCGGAGCAGCACGAGGAAGGCGGCGAUCUGCUGCGCCCCGUUCUUCUCGUUGAGCGGCAGCUGCAGCGUCGCCUCCACCUUGUCCUCCGAGAAGUCGGCCCCGUCGAUCAGCUGCUCCAGCACCUGGCAUCGUCGCGGCCACAAGACAGGAGAUUGAAAGGAAACCCGGUCAGUCAAUCACCGGACGGAACAAAUAGAGGGGAUGCGGGAGGCAUUGCGGCUUGUGCGCACCUGUUCAAAUGUGGCGGUCCCCGGGGAGGCGGCGGGAGCCGGCGCGGCGGCGGGCUACACGGCGACGUGGGCCGGAGGGAGGCACCGGGCGGGGCCGAUGGGCCACGCAGUGCUGGGGCGACGGAGGAGGGGCGAGGGAUUUGGGGGAGCAGAGCUUGAGCGAGGCGGCCGCCAUUAGAUGCAUUCAGGGGACAUGCGUGGGUUUGGUGGGAAGGGAGAUCCCGGUGGUGGCAGAAGAGGGAGGCACCGGCGUCAGGCAUUUUUAUAUGCGGCCGGCGCCAGGCUUGGAUUUUUGUCACUCCAGGGGAGGCCCGACGUCUGCCUUGUGAUCUUGUCCGUCUGCAGCAGCAGAGGAGGACCUCCCGCGUUCUUGGGGCAGCAGAGGAGGACCAGCAGGGGCGCUCGCAUUUGGCCAUCGGGAAGCAGAAGAGGACCACCGGACCAGGGGCGGCAAACGGCGCGGAAGGCGGCGGGAGGAAUCGGCAUGCGACAGCCCACCCGUGUUGUGGCAUCCAUUGGGAGGAGGAGCAUGGUCGAGAGGUCGUGCGGGCGUGGGCGAUAGGUCGUGUGGUGUGGUGUGGGCGUGCGUUGUUGGCAGCGGUUUUUUUUUUCAAACGGCUGGCAGGGUUAGCGAUCGAUGAAUUAGUGGCUUAAGCCAUGGCUUGGAGGGUUAAACAUCAGAGGAUUAGAGGCCAUUAGAUCUUGUUAAUGGAUGGAUGUGAUUAUUUGGAUCUGCCCCUCUCUUCUUUUUAUAAGGGUAGUAGAUGAAUAACAUGAAGGAGAAAAUCAACCAAGUAGAACAGAAAAGAGAUAUAAAAUAUAAGAACAUGAGUAAACCUUAUGUCACUUCAAUACAAAUCAGGGAUGAUUGUGGGCACCCAGCCGGUGAUUAUGUAAAAUUACCUAGAAGAUUCAGCUCUGAUGGUUCCACAAGCAAGUAUAUUGUCUGAAUAUAAUAGUUCUAGGGGCAAACCUAAAAACUUUAUUAGAUGCCCCUGAGGCACUGUAAGGCCUUGCAGUGUUAGCUCGAACAGCCCAACAGUAUGGAC